GCUAGGAGAAUAAAACUUGCUUCAGGAGUCUGGAGCAUCCAGAUAACAUGGCUGGCCCAAUAAAAUUGAUGUUAGAUGAUCAUUGCCUCAAUACUCAUGGUGUUUCCUUGCAGGAGAAUGCUAACAUUGGUGUGUCUGUCUUCCCACUGGAUUCAGAUGAUCUUCUGCAGAUGGCACUGAUGGUACUUCAACAACUUGAGAGUCUCCUGUAUGUUGCCCAUGUCUCAGCUCUGUACAGCAAGCUGAGAUGCAGAGAAACCCAAUGAGGCAGAUUCUGCUCUUGUUUACACCAACACAUUGUUUGGAAUAACUCCACUGAAGAUAGAGCUGAAUUGUGUGGACUUACACUGGCAUGGCACUGGUCUAAUCCCAUCAGCACUGAUCAAAUGGUCAAGCAUCAGCUGGAAGGAGUCCAACUCAUUGAUUUAUGCUGUUGAAUACAUCAACGAAAUGGAGUUUGGGCCAUCCAAGUUCACAUUUGCCAGUGACCAGCUCACCAUAGAAAAUGUCCUUGGGGAUUCAGCCAUUGCUUAUACGGUUCACAUGUCCUAACUAAUGAAGGCAUCUCUGUCUCAGGAGCAUGAACAUAUGGGAUAUCUUGGCUCAUUCCAGAACAGUGAAGUUGGAGAUUUUGUCACACCAUGUUAUGCCCAGGAUACAGCAGACCCAUCAAACUUGGAAACUGUUCAGUUUCUUUCUUCCUUAGCAUAAGGAGUUGAUGUUCUACUGCCAUACAAUAUAGAGCUAAGUAUGCAAGCACUGUCAAUGGACAUCUUUGUUGACAGAGUGAACACUCUGUUUUUCCAAACUCUCUGUUGAAGUUUAGCCAUGGCAUUGCUUGCCUUUCCAAUGUAAAUGUUAAAUUCUGCUUCCAAGACAAGACUUUGCAAGAUGGUGGAGCCCAAGUAAGUGAAUUUUUCAACUACUUCCAGGCGUUCAUCAUUUAUUCUAACUUUCAGAGGGUGGUCAACUUGUUGUUAGCCUAAAGAAGACAAUAGUGCUGGGUCAAUCAGACCAAAACCAUCACAAAUACAAGAAAGGCGAUCCAUGAGACUUUGCAGUCCUGCAUCUGAAUGACUAACAAUUGCUGCAUCAUCGGCAAAAAGGUUUUCGUUUUCACUUUGGGAUGAGUGAGGUUAAAGAGUUUCCCAUCGGAUCCAGGUCUGAAGGUAUACUUCUUCUGAAUAGUCACUGAAUGCAUAUUUGAGUAGGACAGUGAAGAAAAUCCCAAAAACAUCAGAGCCAGGACACAGCCCUGCUUAAGACCACUCUUGAUUUCAAAUUCUACCAAAUAUGACCCAUCAAACUGCACUGU
Gavialis gangeticus (Gharial) is the source of this 1315-nucleotide long non-coding RNA. RefSeq lists it as uncharacterized. Lineage: Eukaryota; Metazoa; Chordata; Crocodylia; Gavialidae. The transcript is spliced from 4 exons. The record is from RefSeq and is a predicted model, not a curated record.